RNAcentral lists this ribosomal RNA (497 nucleotides) under uncultured bacterium. Its description in RNAcentral is "partial 16S ribosomal RNA". It matches the Rfam family "Bacterial small subunit ribosomal RNA", at positions 28 to 507 of the family's 1533-position model. The record is from RNAcentral.
GACGAACGCUGGCGGCGUGCCUAAUACAUGCAAGUAGAACGCUGAAGCGAUGAGCUUGCUCUUCUUGGAUGAGUUGCUAACGGGUGAGUAACGCGUAGGUAACCUGCCUUGUAGCGGGGGAUAACUAUUGGAAACGAUAUCUAAUACCGCAUAACAAUGGAUGACACAUGUCAUUUAUUUGAAAGGGGCAAUUGCUCCACUACAAGAUGGAUCUGCGUUGUAUUAGCUAGUAGGUGAGGUAAUGGCUCACCUAGGCGACGAUACAUAGCCGACCUGAGAGGGUGGUCCGCCAAACUGGGACGGGGAACCGGCCCAGAAUGCUUAGGGGAGGAGCCGGAGGGAAACAUGGGAAAGGGGGGGAAAGCUGAACGCACCACGACGCGGGAGGGAAGAAGGGUUUCGGGUCGGAAAGGUCGGUUGUAAGUCAAGAAAGGGAGUGAGAGUGGAACGUUGACACUGUGACGGUAGCUAAACAGAAAGCAACGGCUAACUACGUG